GACGUAGGGCGCGAGCGUUGUCCGGAUUUAUUGGGCGUAAAGAGCUCGUAGGCGGCUUGUCGCGUCGAAUGUGAAAAUCUCAGGGCUCAACUCUGACAUUGCAUUCGAUACGGGCAGGCUAGAGUUCGGUAGGGGAGACUGGAAUUCCUGGUGUAGCGGUGAAAUGCGCAGAUAUCAGGAGGAACACCGGUGGCGAAGGCGGAUCUCUGGGCCGUAACUGACGCUGAGGAGCGAAAGCAUGGGAGCGAACAGG
This 253-nucleotide ribosomal RNA is filed under the name uncultured bacterium. Its description in RNAcentral is "partial 16S ribosomal RNA". It matches the Rfam family "Bacterial small subunit ribosomal RNA", at positions 524 to 776 of the family's 1533-position model. The record is from RNAcentral.